UACGUAGGUGGCAAGCGUUGUCCGGAUUUAUUGGGUUUAAAGGGUGCGUAGGCGGCUCAUUAAGUCAGUUGUGAAAUACGGCAGCUUAACUGUCGAGGUGCAAUUGAUACUGGAGAGCUAGAGUACUGAUGAGGUAAGCGGAAUGGACGGUGUAGCGGUGAAAUGCUUAGAUAUCGUCCAGAACACCGAUAGCGAAGGCAGCUUACUAAGGAGUAACUGACGCUGAGGCACGAAAGUGUGGGGAUCAAACAGG
This 253-nucleotide ribosomal RNA is filed under the name uncultured bacterium. RNAcentral's name for it is "partial 16S ribosomal RNA". It matches the Rfam family "Bacterial small subunit ribosomal RNA", at positions 524 to 776 of the family's 1533-position model. The record is from RNAcentral.